This is a long non-coding RNA of Gordionus sp. m RMFG-2023, 2036 nucleotides long. RefSeq lists it as uncharacterized. The transcript has 8 exons. The record is from RefSeq and is a predicted model, not a curated record. Lineage: Eukaryota; Metazoa; Nematomorpha; Gordioida; Chordodea; Parachordodidae.
UUUGCUAUUCUGGGUUUCGCUUAGUGGCUUCCACCACUUAAAAUGGGCAUAUCCAGUGCGGUUGACCACUAAAUAGCAUUGCUCUAAAUAGCAUAAAUUGAGUAUGUUUUAAAACGUCUUCAAAAUAACAUAUUCAAAAAAUGGCCGCCAUAUCUGAAGCGAUAAAAAAUUAAAAGUGCAAAUGAUAGCCACUGUUGCCAAUAAUUUGGAAUGUUACCUUAAGAUUCAAAAUAUUAAAUUUGAAAAAACUCAAAAAGGAAAUCAUUUAAUAAUUUAUUUAGGGUACGAGUACCUUAUAAAAAGUGCCAACAAAAAAUUUAUACACUUAAGUUGUCGUGAUAAUUGUUCUGGUAGAGCUAAGCUCUCAUUAAAGGACAUAAUAAUCACGAUAGAACACACAGCGAAGUGUAAAUAUAACACCCAUCUUAGUCUUCCAUCAACACUGAUAUCUUAAUUUUAUCCAAUGGUAUUCCACAUUUGGAACCACAAGUUUCUCCCAUAGUGCCUGAUAUCUCAAUUUCAUCUAAUGGUAUUCCACAUUUGGAACCACAAGUUUCUCCCAUAGUGCCUGACACAAAUCUAGAUUCCCCUCUUGACAUAGCACAAGCCUUAUUAGACUUAAAUUCAAAUAUUUAUGAGGCUCGUUUUGUCAAAAGCCAAAAGGGGAAAAUGUUACUCUUCUUUCAGAACUAUCUAUAUAGAUUUCACUGUCAAAAUAGGGACAUUAUAAAAUAUCGUUGUAGAGUAGCUGAUUGUCAUGCUAAAUGCAUAUUUGAUGGUGCUUAUAUUGCUUUGAGUAUACAUGAUCAGCCUUUUGAAAUAGGGACAUUCGAGAUGCUUAAAACUAAAGAAGCACUCGAAAACAUUGUAGCUUAGAAUCUCUUUGAGACACGCUUAAACAUUUAUCAACAAACUAUGGAUAAGAGAUGUUUGGAGGAUCCAGAAAUAGAAAACUAUUCUGAGGCGAUACCAUCAUUUAUAUCUUUGAGGAGUCACAUAGACAGACUCCUUAUGAAAUAUCGGCCCCCUAUGCCUCAUUCGAUUUUGGAUAUUGAGUUAUCAGCAGAAUAUGCUAUGACAACUCGCAAUGAACGUUUUCUAAUCCACGGAACAGGUAACUUAUACGUUUUUGGUACUGAUUCCAUGUUGCGUUUGACCGAGGGUUCUAACAUGAUCUACAUGGAUGAAAUUUUCAUGUAGCUCCUUCCUUAUUUUAUCAACUUUAUACCUUGCAUGUUAUGUAUGAAGGUGUUAUGAUACCUAUCAUUCACGCUCUCCUUCCGGAUAAGACAAAAGAAACAUAUAUCCGGCUUUUUCAAAUUAUUACUAAUUUUUGCGCCGAAAGCCAGAUAACCUUUAAUCCUCGAUUUGGCCAAACAGACUUUAAGGCAGCUGCUAUAUCAGCUCUCAAGUUUGUAUUUCCUAGCAUGAUUAUAAAGGGAUGUUUUUUCCAUUAUUCGCAAGCGUUAUGGCGAAGAUGUCAAUCUUUAGGGUUGGUAAGCUUGUAUCUGAACCACUCCAAUGUUCACAAAGUUGUUAGGCGCAUGACAACUUUGCCUUUUUGUAAGGAGGAAGAUAUAUCUAGGGUAAGGCAAAAUUGUUAUAUUAUGGCGUCUGAAAAUCCCAUGCUCAUGGAUUUUAUGGAGUAUAUGGAUACGACAUGGCUAGGACUUAAUGCCAUAUUUCCUCAUAAUCAUCUAGAGGGGUUUCAUCAUGCCUUAAAGAGAAAAACGGCACACGCUCACCCAAAUGUUUAUAUUCUUAUAAAAACUUUAAUAGGUCAUCAACAUUCUAACGACCUCAAAAUUAUCCAGAUCAAUAAUGGAUCUAGAGUGCGGCGAAGAAAUAGAAAAUAUGAAAGAAUCGAUGAGCAUAUUACAAAUUUAACACAAAUAUAUGAAAGAACUUCUGAUAUUACAGAAUUUUUAGAUAAAAUAUCUUUUUUAGUAAAUUUUAAAUAUUAAAACUAUCAAUAAAUAUCCGUUUUUAAUUUUAUUAUAGUUUUAUUUUAUAAUAAUAAAUUUGUAAAUGUUGAU